UACGUAGGGGGCAAGCGUUGUCCGGAAUUAUUGGGCGUAAAGAGCGUGUAGGCGGCUUUGCAAGUCCGUUGUGAAAACUCGAGGCUCAACCUCGAGACGCCGGUGGAAACUGCAAAGCUAGAGUCCGGAAGAGGAGAGUGGAAUUCCUGGUGUAGCGGUGAAAUGCGCAGAUGUCAGGAAGAACACCCGUGGCGAAGGCGGCUCUCUGGGACGGUACUGACGCUGAGACGCGAAAGCGUGGGGAGCAAACAGG
Molecule: ribosomal RNA, 253 nt
Filed under: uncultured bacterium
Lineage: Bacteria
Description: partial 16S ribosomal RNA
Rfam family: Bacterial small subunit ribosomal RNA
Source: RNAcentral